Molecule: ribosomal RNA, 301 nt
Filed under: uncultured bacterium
Lineage: Bacteria
Description: partial 16S ribosomal RNA
Rfam family: Bacterial small subunit ribosomal RNA
Source: RNAcentral
CAGCCGCCGCGGGAAUACAGAGGAUGCAAGCGUUAUCCGGAAUGAUUGGGCGUAAAGCGUCUGUAGGUAGCUUUUCAAGUCCGCCGUCAAAUCCCAGGGCUCAACCCUGGACAGGCGGUGGAAACUACCAAGCAGGAGUACGGUAGGGGCAGAGGGAAUUUCCGGUGGAGCGGUGAAAUGCGUUGAGAUCGGGAAGAACACCAACGGCGAAAGCACUCUGCUGGGCCGACACUGACACUGAGAGACGAAAGCUAGGGGAGCAAAUGGGAUUAGAUACCCCGGUAGUCCCUGUCUCUUAUAC